AACAUAAUUACUUCAUUGAUUUCUUACAAUCAAAUACUGCCAACUAGCAUUACUCCCAAUCUUGCAUCAUUGAAAACAAAGGGCAUUUCCUCCUUUGUAUUUUCAAAUGAUACAUUAUACAAUAAACAAAGGUAGAAUUUAAAAUGCACCCUGAUUAAUUAUGUAAACUGGUAAUUUGUUUAAAAAAGCAUAAUAAUUUGGUUCCUUUCUUCAUAAAAUGGAAAUUUAAAUAUUUCUCCUGAUAGUCUUGAGGUUAUCAUUAGCAGUAGUGCAAAGUGUGGCACAUACAGUUUCAUCGAGAAGGGUGUGUAUCUUACACACCUUAUUUAAACAAACAAAAUGUGCAUUAACAAAAUGAACACAGUCAAUGCAUGAUAGAAAGCUUGUUUCAAAAAGAAGGCAGCUCCUCGGACCACCAUAUUAUUUAGGUUUUGCAUUAUCGUUUAUGGCAUUAUAGAUUAGUUAUGCAUAACGUACUUUUAAACAUAUUAACCCUGAAGAUAAGAAAAGUAAUUUUUGCUUGAAAAAAAUUAUUCCAGGUAGCCAUUUGGUUUGUAUCAGGAGAAAGUGAACCCUCUAUGAGUCUAGUGUCUGCCAAGGCAGAAUCAUUAGCGCAAGUCAGUGAAUCAGAUACGAGACACAUUUCACAAUGACUGUUUACCAAGCCCUGGCAAUGCCUCGUCUCUCACACUCCGCCAGAUGACGAAGCAUUUCUGGGAUGACGCUUUUAUGUGGUUUUUCCCUUUUCAUUUUUUUUUUGUUGGAUUAACUAUUACUGUAUUAUUUCCUCUUUUCCCCUCCUCUUCUGUGGCCUUCCAUUUCAAUUAUUCAUAAAUCGUUUCAGAAUAUCCUCAGAGAGCUCCAUAAGGGGAAGUUCUGGAGAUGGAAAAUCCAAGGGAGGAAGAUUGGGGAUUGGAAUGUCCUUGGCUUUCCAGGGACAUGGAUGAAUCUGGAAACCAUCAUUCUCAGCAAACUGACACAAGAACAGUAAAACAAACACUGCAUGUUCUCACUCACAGGCGGGUGUUCAACAAUCAGAACACAUGGACACAGGGAGGUGAGCAUCACACAUUGGGGUCUGUUGAGGGGGGAUGGGGAGGGGCAGCGGGGAGUACUGAGGUUCAGAAGGGAUAACAUGGGGAGAAAUGCCAUAUAUAGGUGAUGGGUGGGAUGGAGGCAGCAAACCCCACUGCCAUGUAUGCACCUGUCCAACAGUCCUGCAUGUUUUACACAUGUAACCCAGAACCUAAAGUGCAAUAAAAUAUAUUUUAAAAAUACAUGUGUAGAUGACCAGUGUGGAAAUAGGGAUGAAGGAAUAUACUAG
This is a long non-coding RNA of Callithrix jacchus (white-tufted-ear marmoset), 1324 nucleotides long. The record is from Ensembl. Lineage: Eukaryota; Metazoa; Chordata; Mammalia; Primates; Cebidae.